GCCAGCCUUUGGAGAAAGGGAGGAGUCAUGUGAGUUUAUUGAUUAAGCACAACUCGAUGCUGUUUUAUGAUUCAAAAUUGCUGAUGGGAAUGCAUGCUUUCUCUGCCUGAGAUGCUGUCCUCAACCCUAUGUGUGGACACUGCACUCACAGAGGCUGAUCUGUACACACAUAUAGACACGGAUGCACACAUUCAACUUUACAUAGAAAGAGUUGGCUCAACAACUUCAUUGUGUUUUUUCUCACUUUGGGGUGCUGCUUCCCAGGGGAGCCUUGAUGAAUGCAGGCUGUGAGCAUGACCUCAUCUGUCAAGGUGGAGACAAGAGCUUAGGUGCUGGGGAGCGGACUGGGCUAUUCUGCAAUUCAUGAAGCAAAGCAGGGCCCCUGAAGACCUAUGUUAGGAUGGUGGCCAGCCAAGAUGGUGGACCCUUUAACAGCAUCAGUUACUGAAAGAUUAUGUGAGUUGGAGCUGCUGUCAGCCCAUGCUGGACUACAGCAGGAGUGAGAAG
RNAcentral lists this long non-coding RNA (507 nucleotides) under Heterocephalus glaber (naked mole-rat). RNAcentral describes it as "lncRNA (ENSHGLG00000037080.1)". Lineage: Eukaryota; Metazoa; Chordata; Mammalia; Rodentia; Bathyergidae. The record is from RNAcentral.